CAUCAAUAUCCCUAUAGAAAAUCAUAAUUUCAUGAAUAACCCUCUAAAUUAGAAAAUAUCAUCAAUAUCCCUCUUAAAACUAAAAAUAUUCACACAUACCUUUUAACUUAACUUUCCGUCAAGAAGUCAUCCAAUAUUUUGUAAAUACCAAUUUUAACCCUAAAAUAAAUUUAAUAAUGUAAUAUUUAAAAUUAAUUAUAUGAUUAAUUUUUAAUAUUUGAAUUACAUAAUAAUUUAACAUUUUUUUUAAAAUUUUACAAUUAAAGAUCUAUAGUCUAUUGAGUGUGAUAGUUAAAUCUUAUUAUGAUUUUUCGCUUUUAAGUUAUACAUAGUUGUAAUGCAAUUGUCCAGAGUAGUAUUCUUCAUUAUUAUUUUAAAAUAAUCUUAAUCUAUUACAAAAAAUAUAAUUUUAAUCCAUUAUAAAAAAAAUAGAGUUUAGAUUUUAAUAUAUAAUUAAUUUUUAAAAAAGGUCGAGUGUGGUGGUAUUUGAGUUCGACAAUUUAGAAAGAAAAAGUCAAGAAUAAAUAAAAUAAAGAUCUAACGUAACUUGUGUUACAUUACUUUCUGCACUUACACCAAAAUAAACACCGAAAGUGACGAGUUCCAACCAGCGAAACAAACAUGCCCAAAUACUU
This 635-nucleotide long non-coding RNA is filed under the name Ananas comosus (pineapple). RNAcentral's name for it is "long non-coding RNA (ACOM_LNC013143)". The record is from RNAcentral. Lineage: Eukaryota; Viridiplantae; Streptophyta; Magnoliopsida; Poales; Bromeliaceae.